RNAcentral lists this ribosomal RNA (361 nucleotides) under uncultured Paenibacillus sp. RNAcentral describes it as "bacterial SSU rRNA". It matches the Rfam family "Bacterial small subunit ribosomal RNA", at positions 1022 to 1382 of the family's 1533-position model. The record is from RNAcentral. Lineage: Bacteria; Bacillati; Bacillota; Bacilli; Caryophanales; Paenibacillaceae.
CGGGACAAGGAGACAGGUGGUGCAUGGUUGUCGUCAGCUCGUGUCGUGAGAUGUUGGGUUAAGUCCCGCAACGAGCGCAACCCCUGUGGUUAGUUGCCAGCAAGUAGCGUUGGGCACUCUAGCCAGACUGCCGGUGAUAAAUCGGAGGAAGGUGGGGACGACGUCAAAUCAUCAUGCCCUUUAUGUCCUGGGCUACACACGUACUACAAUGGCCGUUACAACGGGAAGCGAAGGAGCAAUCCGGAGCAAAUCCCUUAAAGGCGGUCCCAGUUCAGAUUGUGGGCUGAAACUCGCCCACAUGAAGGCGGAAUUGCUAGUAAUUGCAGAUCAGCAUGCUGCAGUGAAUACGUUCCCGGGCCUU